This 477-nucleotide ribosomal RNA is filed under the name uncultured bacterium. RNAcentral describes it as "bacterial SSU rRNA". It matches the Rfam family "Bacterial small subunit ribosomal RNA", at positions 37 to 529 of the family's 1533-position model. The record is from RNAcentral.
UGGCGGCGUGCCUACACAUGCAAGUCGAACGAGAAAGCGGGGGCAACUCCGCGAGUAAAGUGGCGACCGGGUGAGUAACACGUGAGUAACCUGCCCUCGAGCGGGGGAUAACUCCGGGAAACCGGGGCUAAUACCGCAUAACAUCUUCGAUACGAAAGUAUUGAGGAUCAAAGAAGCAAUUCACUUGAGGAGGGGGUCGCGGCCGAUUAACUAGUUGGCGGGGUAACGGCCCACCAAGGCUGAGAUCGGUAGCCGGCCUGAGAGGGCGCACGGCCACACUGGAACUGAAACACGGUCCAGACUCCUACGGGAGGCAGCAGUGGGGAAUUUUGCGCAAUGGGGGGAACCCUGACGCAGCAACGCCGCGUGGAGGAUGAAGUCCCUUGGGACGUAAACUCCUUUCGACCGGGAAGAUAAUGACGGUACCGGAAGAAGAAGCACCGGCUAACUCUGUGCCAGCAGCCGCGGUAAUACAGA